RNAcentral lists this small RNA (895 nucleotides) under uncultured Trichosporon. Its description in RNAcentral is "eukaryotic LSU rRNA". The stretch from base 609 to 895 matches the Rfam family "Eukaryotic large subunit ribosomal RNA", at positions 1 to 281 of the family's 3401-position model. Lineage: Eukaryota; Fungi; Basidiomycota; Tremellomycetes. The record is from RNAcentral.
CUUGGUCAUUUAGAGGAAGUAAAAGUCGUAACAAGGUCUCCGUUGGUGAACCAGCGGAGGGAUCAUUACAGAGUUGCAAAACUCCCAACCAUUGUGAACCUACCUCACCGUUGCUUCGGCGGGUGGCCCCCACCGGGGCCGCGCCGGCCCCACCCGGCCGGCAACCCGUCAGAGGACCGAAACUCUUCGUCAUCAUUGGCCUCUCUGAGUAACUUAUACAAUAAGUCAAAACUUUCAACAACGGAUCUCUUGGUUCUGGCAUCGAUGAAGAACGCAGCGAAAUGCGAUAAGUAAUGUGAAUUGCAGAAUUCAGUGAAUCAUCGAAUCUUUGAACGCACCUUGCGCUCCUUGGUAUUCCGAGGAGCAUGCCUGUUUGAGUGUCAUGAAACUCUCACCCUCUAGCUUUCUUAAUCGUGGCUAGCGGCGUGGACGUGAGCGCUGCUGCUUUGUUGCGGCUCGCUCGAAAUGUAUUAGCAGACCCUUUUCGUAAUCGGUUCCACUCAACGUGAUAAGUAUUUCGUUGAGGACAGUUGCAGCAAUGCGGCUGGCCGGGAUAAGAAAGGCAUAGUUGUCAGCUUCUAAUCGCCCUCGGGCAAUUUUUUAUGAUCUGGCCUCAAAUCAGGUAGGACUACCCGCUGAACUUAAGCAUAUCAAUAAGCGGAGGAAAAGAAACUAACAAGGAUUCCCCUAGUAACGGCGAGUGAAGCGGGAUGAGCUCAAAUUUAAAAUCUGGCGGUCUCAGAUCGUCCGAGUUGUAGUCUAGAGAAGCGUUUUCCGUGCUGGCCUGUGUACAAGUCCGUUGGAACACGGCGUCAUAGAGGGUGAGAAUCCCGUCCUUGACACAGAUCUCCAGUGCUUUGUGAUGCGCUCUCAAAGAGUCGAGUUGUUUGGGAAU